Long non-coding RNA from Helianthus annuus (common sunflower), 195 nucleotides. RefSeq lists it as uncharacterized. The transcript has 3 exons. The record is from RefSeq and is a predicted model, not a curated record. Lineage: Eukaryota; Viridiplantae; Streptophyta; Magnoliopsida; Asterales; Asteraceae.
UAGUUGUGAAAGUGUCGCCUCAUGCUCGUGCAAUACGGGAUGUAGAAGAUGAGGAGUUACGAAGUUUUUUCUAUGGAAUGUCUCCAUGGCAGUUUAUAAUGAUAGUUGCAGCAAGCUCAGUUGGUGAGGAGUUAUUUUACCGCGCUGCUGUUCAGGGUGCAUUAGCAGAGGUGUUUUUGAGGUGGAAUGAUCUUG